This 495-nucleotide ribosomal RNA is filed under the name uncultured bacterium. RNAcentral describes it as "partial 16S ribosomal RNA". It matches the Rfam family "Bacterial small subunit ribosomal RNA", at positions 28 to 507 of the family's 1533-position model. The record is from RNAcentral.
GACGAACGCUGGCGGCGUGCCUAAUACAUGCAAGUAGAACGCUGAAGGAGGAGCUUGCUUCUCUGGAUGAGUUGCGAACGGGUGAGUAACGCGUAGGUAACCUGCCUGGUAGCGGGGGAUAACUAUUGGAAACGAUAGCUAAUACCGCAUAAUAGCAGUUGUUGCAUGACAACUGUUUGAAAGGUGCAAUUGCACCACUACCAGAUGGCCCUGCGUUGUAUUAGCUAGUUGGUGGGGUAACGGCUCACCAAGGCGACGAUACAUAGCCGACCUGAGAGGGUGAUCGGCCACACUGGGACUGAGACACGGCCCAGACUCCUACGGGAGGCAGCAGAAGGGAAUCUUAGGCAAUGGACGGAAGUCUGACCGAGCAACGCCGCGAGAGUGAAGAAGGUUAUCGGAUCGUAAAGCUCGGUUGUAAGAGAAGAACGAGUGUGAGAGUGGAAAGUUCACACUGUGACGGUAGCUUAACAGAAAGGGACGGCUAACUACGUG